This 432-nucleotide ribosomal RNA is filed under the name Austrolycus depressiceps. RNAcentral's name for it is "eukaryotic LSU rRNA". The record is from RNAcentral. Lineage: Eukaryota; Metazoa; Chordata; Actinopteri; Perciformes; Zoarcidae.
GGGUGGGGCCCGCGCAGUCUGGCGAUUCAACUCGGCGGGUAUUGGGACGGUCGUCGGGUGCGUGGGGAUCCCCUCGUGGGACCUCUCCCCCGUUCGGCUGGCCCCGGCCGGGCGCAUUUCCCCCGUGGCGGUGCGCCGCGACCGGCUCUAGGUCGGCUUGGAAAGGCUCGGGGCGAAGGUGGCUCGCAGGCUCCGGCCGCGUGCUUUAUAGGGCCCUCUGUCUGGACCUCGCCGCUUCCAGGGGCCGUGGAUUAAGUGCUUGCUGCGCCCUCUCUCCCCGCGGGGAGGGACGGAGCCCCCUGCUCCCGGCGCGACUGUCAACCGGGGCGGACUGCCCUCAGUGCGCCCCGACCGCGCCGCGUGCCCCAGGGCGGGGACCGGCUCACGUAAAAGGCGUCAGAGGUCAGCGGUGAUGUCGGCAACCCACYCGAC